CACAGUUUUAAAGCCCUAAUCACAACCACAGUGACCCUGGUGGAAUCCACUAACAUGGACUAUUUCACACUUUAAUAUGUAUUCCUGCUAAUAGGAUUCUUCAUCUGUGUGUACAAUACUGUUUGCAAUUAUUUAAGAGACAAAGUUAACUCCCAGAAUGUUAUGCACAAUUACAUACAGGACGUAGCUCAAAAUGAAGCACAAUUUGAAUCCUAGAAAUGUUUGCAACUCUGGUGAAGGUAUGACAAAUGUAUAAUUAUUAUAAUGCACUGUAUUGAUAACGCCAAUUACGAUGACUUGAUGCUUGAAGACAACAUUGAAGGGCGAUGGACCCAUUUAUAAGAGGUUUGUGUUUUAUCAGUCAGUAUUUGGGUGUAACACCGGAAGGUGACCGGAUGUUGUCAUAUUACAGCUAUAUCGUCAUUAGCUCUACCUCUCUCUCUCUUUUCUGGUGACCGUUGGAGGAGUAACAUCUCCCCGUCCCGGGCUCUCGUUAUGUAGCCGCUAACUGCUGUUUAUUGUCCCUGAAGAAGACCUAAACCUGGUCGAAACGUUGGAUGUACAGUAAGAUGAUUCUCAUGUUUUGUCGGACUCAAGAAAAAUAAACGGCAAAGAACAACCCUUUCUCCGUUUUGUUUGCUAAUAGCUAAGUCAUGCUGGAGCUAAAUGCUAAUGCUAAGCGGGCCUACAAGCUAACUGAGGCUACCGCUAGCGAGUCCAUAGACAUUGAGGCGAACUACGCACAACAUGAGGCGAACGCGAACGCGGCACGAGAUAUGAUGAUGCAAUAACAUCGAAGCACGGGGGCUGGAGAGGAGAGAGACGACGCACACGCGAUGACCUGCCAACCGAGCCACGCCGCAGAGACCGCUCCAGGUGCAGCGUCAGCUAAGCUACAACACGGCUGCUGAUGAAGGAGGCUGAAGUUGCUUGGGAGUCCGAGGCAGGACCCUGUGGUCUUCUCUGGACCGUCCUGCGUGGAAUCACAGAACUACUUUACCCAACCGGAAUGUUUUCCGAACAUUGAUUGCAGUUUCCCUGUAUGAGCAAAAAGCUGCCAAAUUUAAAUUAAGCAGCUAAAGGAGGGUGGCAUAGUUCAGGACAUCCAACCACAUUUUAGAAGAUACAGUUAACACAUUAUGCAACAGUCAGGCUCUUGACAGUUUGAAAACGAAUGUUUUAUUAGACCCGUCACACAGCCUGCAUGACAAGCAUUACAUAUCAAAAACUACUGUUACUAACUAACUCUUACCGUUCACUUCAAAUCACUAAAGACUGCGGGUAAUUUCCACCGUCACAGGAGGUUGAAACUCCUCGACCACUUCUGGGGAUCCUCAAGGCAGGAGCCUGUUGUAUUCUCUGGACCGUCCUGUGUGGAAUCACAACCCAUUCUGAAAAAUCUUUGAAACAGACAAGAUGGCAUCUUCUUGCCCAUAGUAUUGCUAAAUAACAUUAGCCUAACACAUUGGCCAACAGCAAAUAGUUAAACCGCAGCUAAAGGAUCCAAAUAGUUCUUCAUGACAGGCCACAACACUCAGGCAUUCUUUACAGUUAGAAAGACCUUUUAUUAGGGCCAUUACAGCUUGUACGACAAGAAUUACAUUAAAAAAAAAUACCUUGACGAAGAGCCCAGGCCUCACCCAUCUUCUCCCUCUCCUCUAGAAUACAUUGACAUUCUAUCAAUUCACUGCCAAGAUUACAUUCCAGGUACACAGUAAAUUUGACUGAAAUUGGAGUACGUUGCAACACUAAGCCAGUAAACAUAAGGUCUUAACCUACAGUGUUGGGGUUACACUGAAGUGUACAGCACUAUGGGCGGCUGUGGGUGAGUGGGGAGCAGGUACUCCUCCAAUCAGAGGGGUUGUGGGUUUGAUCCCAGUCCUGGCUAACCCGCAUGUCGAUGUGUCCUUGGGCAAGACACUUAACCCAACAUUGCUCCUGUAGCUGUGAUUACAGCGUAUGAAUGUUACUGAUGGGCAGGUGUCACUGUAUGGUUUUCCUGUCAUCAGUGUAUGAAUGAGGUCAUGUAGUGUUAAAGCGCUUUGAGUGGUCGGAAGACUAGAAAAGCGCUAUAU
Molecule: long non-coding RNA, 2075 nt
Organism: Gasterosteus aculeatus aculeatus (three-spined stickleback)
Lineage: Eukaryota; Metazoa; Chordata; Actinopteri; Perciformes; Gasterosteidae
Source: Ensembl